Molecule: long non-coding RNA, 625 nt
Organism: Homo sapiens (human)
Lineage: Eukaryota; Metazoa; Chordata; Mammalia; Primates; Hominidae
Gene: CTDSPL2-DT
Product: CTDSPL2 divergent transcript
Source: Ensembl
CUGGCGGCUAGGGUUUAGUAACUGUGGGCGCGCUGGGUUAUCUCAAUUUCCAUCAGGCCUCAGCUGAAAGCUCAUCUGCCAAAACACAUCAGCACUCAUGUAAAAUAAAAGGAGUAGGGAGGUGACUUUCUACACAAUACUGUACAGUGUUUGGCUUCCAGUUUCCCUCUUGUGUGUAACUAUUCUAGCACUUUAGGUUUUCUGAAGCAUUCCUUUAGGACUUAAAGGACAUCAUUGAAAUGUUGCUUUCCAUAGUCUGCAGGAUCCAUUUGAAGCUCUCGUUCUUCAUCAUCUGUGCCCUAUCCUGCCACUAUCAUCUAGAGAAUGCCAGAAUGAGACAAGAAAUGUUAAAUGGCAACACUCAGCUCACUUUAGAGCCAUGCUGCGGAUCAACAGGGGAUUCAUUUUCAUCAAAGAAUCGGCCUGUGAAGUAGGUAGAGGAUUAAUUCAAGAGUAAAGAGAGAAGAAAAGAAGGAAUCUAUACGGAAGGCAGACCAGAAAGUAAACAAGUGAAAGCUGGCAACUUUUGGGGUACUGGAUAUAAAAGGAUACAUUUUGUGAAGGUUAUCCAAGACAAAAGUAUAUAAGAGGGAAGACUCUGAAAAUAUGUAAUUUUUAUUAAGAA